Oncorhynchus keta (chum salmon) is the source of this 2056-nucleotide long non-coding RNA. RefSeq lists it as uncharacterized. Lineage: Eukaryota; Metazoa; Chordata; Actinopteri; Salmoniformes; Salmonidae. The transcript is spliced from 3 exons. The record is from RefSeq and is a predicted model, not a curated record.
GCAAGUCAGGUGUGUGUGUGUGUCUACAGGGGGUUGAAGGUGACUUAAUAAAAGGUUGCUGUGAAGGUAAACAGUGGCCAGCUGGGGUACCACCUACUGAGCACAGGAGGCUGGUUGCACCUUAAUUGGGGAGGACAGACUCGUGGUAAUGACUGGAACAGAAUCAGUGGAAUGGUAUCAAAUACAUCUAACACAUGGUUUCCAGGUGGUUGAUGCCAUUCCGUUUGCUCCGUUCUGGACAUUAUUCUGAGCCGUCCUCCCCUCAGCAGCCUCCAUCACUACUGAGGGACUGUUCCAGCUUGCCCCCUGAGCCUUCUAGUUCCACAAAGGUUCCUUGUUGAGAACCGGUUCUUAGAACAUGUCGCCACAGAUUACGUUACCCUCCAAAUCCACUACGCUCAGGUUAUCCAAAGUUUCCAAAUGAAUAUGGACUCAUUUUAACGGUGGAUCGUAAAACUGUCCCAACUCGUUCUGUUGUUUUCCCUUCUGUCUUUUUAUUUACAGGGAAGACACACUGAGACCUCGGCCUCUUUUACAAAGGUGUCCUGUAUAUACAACAUCAAUAUACACAUUACACCCAUCUCCACCUCUUCAACACCUAGUUAACUAUAAUCCUAGGUGUUAGUAUUGUAAUCUGGAGCCUGUCUCUGAUGAGUCUCCUAAAGGGUGGUAGGGGAGGAGAGAUGUCUCUGAUGAGUCCCCUAGGGGUAGGGGAGGAGAGAUGUCUCUGAUGAGUCUCCUAGGGGUAGGGGAGGAGAGAUGUCUCUGAUGAGUCCCCUAGGGGUAGGGGAGGAGAGAUGUCUCUGAUGAGUCUCCUAGGGGUAGGGGAGGAGAGAUGUCUCUGAUGAGUCUCCUAGGGGUAGGGGAGGAGAGAUGUCUCUGAUGAGUCCCCUAGGGGUAGGGGAGGAGAGGUGUCUCUGAUGAGUCUCCUAGGGGUGGUAGGGGAGGUGUCUCUGAUGAGUCCCCUAGGGGUAGGGGAGGAGAGGUGUCUCUGAUGAGUCCCCUAGGGGUAGGGGAGGUGUCUCUGAUGAGUCCCCUAGGGGUAGGGGAGGAGAGGUGUCUCUGAUGAGUCCCCUAGGGGUAGGGGAGGAGAGGUGUCUUUGAUGAGCCUCCUAGGGGUAGGGGAGGAGAGGUGUCUUUGAUGAGCCUCCUAGGGGUGGUAGGGGAGGAGAGAUGUCGCUGAUGAGUCUCCUAGGGGUGGUAGGGGAGGAGAGGUGUCUCUGAUGAGUCUCCUAGGGGUGGUAGGGGAGGAGAGGUGUCUCUGUUGAGUCUCCUAGGGGUGGUAGGGGUGGAGAGGUGUCUCUGAUGAGUCUCCUAGGGGUGGUAGGGGAGGAGAGGUGUCUCUGAUGAGUCCCCUAGGGGUAGGGGGAGGAGAGGUGUCUCUGAUGAGUCCCCUAGGGGUAGGGGAGGAGAGGUGUCUCUGAUGAGUCCCCUAGGGGUAGGGGUGGAGAGGUGUCUCUGAUGAGUCCCCUAGGGGUAGGGGAGGAGAGGUGUCUGAUGAGUCUCCUAGGGGUAGGGGAGGAGAGGUGUCUCUGAUGAGUCCCCUAGGGGUAGGGGAGGAGAGGUGUCUCUGAUGAGUCUCCUAGGGGUAGGGGAGGAGAGGUGUCUCUGAUGAGUCUCCUAGGGGUAGGGGAGGAGAGGUGUCUCUGAUGAGUCUCCUAGGGGUAGGGGAGGAGAGGUGUCUCUGAUGAGUCUCCUAAGGGUAGGGGAGGAGAGGUGUCUCUGAUGAGUCUCCUAGGGGUAGGGGAAGCUCGCUGGUGAUAAUGACCAUGGCUGUUCAUUAACCUGCUCUUCAACUAUUACAUGGUGGACAUGGUAAACUGACUGAAUGGCAGAUGAGAGAGAGGAGUACAGUAAGAUCCUAUUGGAAUAAAACACCUGAUUUAUGAUGAAGUCGCUUUCCCAUGAGGGUGAUAUGGAAACUGUUGAUCAGACAACAUCACUGUGGUUGGCCUCUUCCUCCCAACAUUACUCUUUCAACAGAUGGAUGUUCCUCUUCCUCCCACCGUUACUCUUUCAACAGAUGGCUGUUCCUCUUCCUCCCACCGUUACUCUU